RNAcentral lists this ribosomal RNA (497 nucleotides) under uncultured bacterium. RNAcentral's name for it is "partial 16S ribosomal RNA". It matches the Rfam family "Bacterial small subunit ribosomal RNA", at positions 28 to 507 of the family's 1533-position model. The record is from RNAcentral.
GAUGAACGCUGGCGGCGUGCCUAAUACAUGCAAGUCGAGCGAACAGACGAGGAGCUUGCUCCUCUGACGUUAGCGGCGGACGGGUGAGUAACACGUGGAUAACCUACCUAUAAGACUGGGAUAACUUCGGGAAACCGGAGCUAAUACCGGAUAAUAUAUUGAACCGCAUGGUUCAAUAGGGAAAGACGGUUUUGCUGUCACUUAGAGAUGGAUCCGCGCCGCAUUAGCUAGUUGGUAAGGUAACGGCUUACCAAGGCAACGAUGCGUAGCCGACCUGAGAGGGUGCUCGGCCACACUGGAACUGCGACACGGUCCAGACUCCUACGGGAGGCAGCAGUAGGGAAUCUUCCGCACUGGGCGAAAGCUUGACGGAGCACCGCCGCGCGAGUGAUGAAGGUCUUCGGAUCGUAAAACUCUGUUAUUAGGGAAGAACAAAUGUGUAAGUAACUAUGCACGUCUUGACGGUACCUAAUCAGAAAGCCACGGCUAACUCCGUG